UCAUUAAAGUAUAAAGGAAGAAAGUAGCCUUCAGAAACUAGGCCCAGGCCUUGUAUUUUUUUAAUAAUGCUAAGAUAGCACACAAAGAAGAGUGAUUGCACCAAACUGCAAAGACUGGGUGGACCUCUUUCUUAAUGUGCAAUGUCCUUUGUCUUAAAAUUUGGUGCCAUAUGU
Small nucleolar RNA from Oryctolagus cuniculus (rabbit), 174 nucleotides. NCBI's taxonomy places the organism in Eukaryota, Metazoa, Chordata, Mammalia, Lagomorpha, Leporidae. The record is from Ensembl.